This 2406-nucleotide ribosomal RNA is filed under the name Triticum aestivum (bread wheat). RNAcentral describes it as "partial small subunit ribosomal RNA". The record is from RNAcentral. Lineage: Eukaryota; Viridiplantae; Streptophyta; Magnoliopsida; Poales; Poaceae.
AUGUGGCGGGGUUGCGCGCCCGCGGGGCUGGUGGUGGCGCAGAAGAACUCCAUCGGUCGAUCCAGCUGGAGCGUGAGGACGGGGCCGACGGCGGCAGGCGGGGACGACGAGCCCAUGAAUCUCCACCCCCAGCACCUCGGCCCCUGUGACCGGCAAUCACCACGCGCACGAGGCUCCCUCCUCCACCGUCAACACGGCGCCGCGCACCGGCAUCUUGGUCGACUGCUGCAUCCGCCGACCACCAUCGAGGAUUCGAAUCACACCAGCUUCACACGCCUCUUCCCGCUCCUCGCCUCGCCGCCGCACACCUCCUCUCCUGACAUCGCGCAGCUUCGGGUACGACGCAGGCUGCAUAACUGCCGAUGGGCUCGCCGCCUGCGCAAGGGCUCUCUCUCGCUCCUCUGUCCCAUGCGCGAUGAAGAAAUGGCGAGAGAGUGGGGAACGAAGAAAAGGAUAAGAGAGAGGGGUGCGGCCGUGCGUGCGUUCGGGGACGAGGCGAGUUUUUCCGAACGGGAAUACUGGAUGAGAUGCCAAGCUCAUCCAUCUUGCAACAAAGGUCUGUUGCCAUCUCUUCCUUUUUGGAUGAGCAAUAACAGUUCAGAAGUGCCCCAAAGGUUCCAUGGAUUUUGGUGGAUCGGGAAGACUGUCAAACAAUUUUUCAGCUGUCGCAAGGCCACUCACUUUGUAGAUGAGAUCCAGACGAAUUAUUUGGUUGACCGACAGGAGUUCCUACGUGAAGCAGUCGUCUGUGUCCAGAUCAAGUUGAGAUUGAUCGGUGCAAGCUUCAAGUCCCGAGGCUCCAAAGCAAAUCAGCAAGUCGCCAAGUUCGGCUGCCUCUCCCCGAGGAGGUCCAGUACUACUCACAUUUAUUCUUUCAUGAAGUACAAUUUUCCGCUGCUGGACCGUGACACAAGGUUUACCUUAUGGCAAGUCAAGAUGAGGGCGUUGUUGGCACAGUCCGAUUAUGAUGAAGCACUGGAUAGUUUUGGGAAAAAUAGAAUUCAAGAUUGGACUGAUGAGGAGAAAAGAAUUGAUUGUAAGGCUUUGUCACAAAUUCAACUCCAUUUGCAUAAUAAUAUUUUGCAGGAAGUUUUGAGCGAGAAAACAGCCGCCGCUCUAUGGUUAAAGCUGGAAGGGAUUUGCAUGACAAAAGAUCUUACUAGCAAGAUGCAUCUGAAGCAAAAAUUAUUCCUGCACAGGUUACCCGUGGAAGUUUAUGAAGCUUUGGACUCUAAGGAGAAGAUGAAAUUAGUGGUGCCUCAUGAUGGUUCGAGUUCAUCCCAAGCCGAGGGAUUAUCUGUUCGUGGCAGGACAAAGGAGAAGAACUCCAAUAAUGGAAACAGAGGCAAAAGUAAAAACGGCUACAGGGGCCGGUCGCAAUCCAGAGACAAGAAGUAUUGCAGGUAUUGCAGGUAUUGCAAGAGAGACGGACAUGACAUCUCUGAGUGUUUCAAGUUGCAGAACAAGGAAAAGAGGAAAGGUAACAAACAAGGUAAAAAUUCUGCUAACGUUGCUCGUGAUGAUAGUUCCGAUGAUGCUCUUGUCGUUAUUGCUGGAUGUGCUGAGACCAAUGAUGAGUGGGUACUUGAUACUGCAUGCACUUUUCAUAUGUGUCCACAUAGAGAUUGGUUUACUACUUUUGAUUCCACUACUUCUGCUAGUUCCGUUUUGGGUUUUGAUAAUUCACCAUGCAAGAUUGAAGGCAUAGGUUCUAUUCGAAUCAAGAUGUUUGAUGGCAUAAUCAGAACUUUGAUAGAUGUUCGGUAUAUUCCGAAGAAGAAGAGAAAUCUUAUUUCUAUGAGUGCCCUUGAUGCAAAGGGGUACAAGUAUUCAGGUGGAGAUAGUGUUUUGAAAGUCACCAAAGGUUCCCUUGUUGUGAUGAAAGGUGACUUAAGUUCGACCAAUGGUCUUUAUUACCUUCGAGGUUCUACCGUUUCAGGUUUUAAAUUGUGGAAUCCUGAAACCCAGAAGGUUGUUAUUAGCAGGAACGUUAUCUUUAAUGAAUCUGCUAUGUUACAUGAUGUUCCAUCUACUAAUGUUCCUGUUGAGAGUGAACAGCAGCCUACUAUUCAACAGUCUAUUGUUCAGGUGGAGCAUGUUAUUGAAACAGGUGAUACAUCUGGUAAUGAAAUUAUUGAUGCACAUGAUGAACCCGUCGUUGAUGAUGAACAUGUCACUCCCACUCCAAAUCAGCCUAUUGUUCCACCCAGUUGGAAUCUUGCACGUGACAGAGUUAGACGGGGUAUUAAUAAACCUGACAGGUUAAUUGAAGAGUGCAAUAUUGUUUCUUUUGCUUUAUCUGUUGCAGAAGAAAUUGAAGGUGUUUAUGCUGUUUUGGAUGGAGUUAUUCACUUUCUUCGACUACUGGAGGGAAUUUGGCUCAAGGUGGAGAUUGUUAAAUUGUGA